GCCGGUGUAGCUCAGUUGGUAGAGCAGCUGAUUUGUAAUCAGCUGGCCGGGGGUUCGAGUCCUCUCACCGGCUCCA
This 76-nucleotide transfer RNA is filed under the name Zetaproteobacteria bacterium. RNAcentral describes it as "tRNA-Thr". It matches the Rfam family "tRNA". From Rfam's summary of the family: Transfer RNA (tRNA) molecules are approximately 80 nucleotides in length. Their secondary structure includes four short double-helical elements and three loops (D, anti-codon, and T loops). Further hydrogen bonds mediate the characteristic L-shaped molecular structure. tRNAs have two regions of fundamental functional importance: the anti-codon, which is responsible for specific mRNA codon recognition, and the 3' end, to which the tRNAs corresponding amino acid is attached (by aminoacyl-tRNA synthetases). tRNAs cope with the degeneracy of the genetic code in two manners: having more than one tRNA (with a specific anti-codon) for a particular amino acid; and 'wobble' base-pairing, i.e. permitting non-standard base-pairing at the 3rd anti-codon position. The record is from RNAcentral. RNAcentral also lists the same sequence under 2 other names. Lineage: Bacteria; Pseudomonadati; Pseudomonadota; Candidatius Mariprofundia.